RNAcentral lists this ribosomal RNA (183 nucleotides) under Prevotella sp. Its description in RNAcentral is "partial 16S ribosomal RNA". It matches the Rfam family "Bacterial small subunit ribosomal RNA", at positions 1361 to 1533 of the family's 1533-position model. Lineage: Bacteria; Pseudomonadati; Bacteroidota; Bacteroidia; Bacteroidales; Prevotellaceae. The record is from RNAcentral.
GGUGAAUGCGUUCCCGGGCCUUGUACACACCGCCCGUCACACCACCCGAGUCGAUUGCACCCGAAGUCGUCGGCCUAACCUUUUAGGAGGGAGACGCCGAAGGUGUGGUUGGUAAGGGGGGUGAAGUCGUAACAAGGUAGCCGUACCGGAAGGUGCGGCUGGAUCACCUCCUUUCUAGGGAGA